Arvicanthis niloticus (Nile rat) is the source of this 2600-nucleotide non-coding RNA. The record is from RefSeq and is a predicted model, not a curated record. NCBI's taxonomy places the organism in Eukaryota, Metazoa, Chordata, Mammalia, Rodentia, Muridae.
AUUUUACAAACUACUCACUGCUCACCUCCCAGUCAUCCCUCCCACAAUACUUCACCACAGCACUGGAGGCAUUAAGUAGGUACCAGUAGGGGUUGUUCUGGUCCUACUUGUAUUCUAAUGCUAUUUACUGCCUCUCAAGAUCUUGUUGCCCCCAUAGCAGAUCCUCAUGUACUCCAAGUGAUGGUAUGUAAACCUUUCUCCCCAAUUAAAACUAUUGGUUAAAUAAGACAACAGCCAAUGACUGAGUGCAAUAGAGAGAAGUAGGGUUUGAAUUACUGGUCUGUGCUUUUUAGGUAGACUCUACAAGGAGAAGAAAAGAGAAAAGGAAGAAGAGGAGGAGGAGGAGAGCAUUAGAGACCAGAAGGCCUCCAUGAUUUCUGAUGGACCAACAGCACAUACCAGAGUGAUAUAUCUCCCAGGAUGCCAAACUCUUGUGGCAAAUAACUCAGAGAAUUACAAAUCACAAGUUUUUGUGAAGCACAGUUGAGACAGGGGCCAGAUGAGCAUUUAGAGAUUUUGAUUAGGACUAAUUCCCUAGCAAUUACACAGAGGCUAAUAAACAAAUCUCACUCUCUUAAAGGUAAAUGGUGAUAAGUUUAAUAACUAUUUCAUAGGUACCAGGUUCAAAUCUCAUCUAUGACUUUUAUGGUUAGUCCUUACAUCUAAAUCACAAAUUUCCCUGAAGACUGAACACAUAAAUCAAAUGCCUGACAGACAUAUGAGUGCAGGUCAGGCAGUGUGCUCUGAGACCUAUUUUAGAUUCACUACAUGUGUGCUGGCUUAAGAAGGCACCAUCAGGAUUGUGGGGCAUCUCCCUGCUAUACAGGCCUGAACACUAGCUCUGAUACAAUGUCUGCUCAAUGGUCUAGCUCUUGAUUGAUAGCAUCCCUCAGUCUCAGCUUCUGUCAGGCAAUCUUCAUUUCUCCAGCCAGGAGACAGCAGAUUCCUAUUCUGCUAACUCUGACAUGGCUCACAGCAGUGCUGGUGAGCAGGCACACCCUCCAAUCUGAAUCUAACUCAGAAGGAGGUUAUGGGAUAUGCAGGGUUCUCUCUGGGGUUUUAUAAGCAAGAACUGAUUGCUGACAGAGAGGAACAUUCUCUGGUGGAGCUGCCAGCAAUCUGUGUAGAGAACUCCAGGGAUUCAGCUUCCCCAAGUCAUCACCCAUGUUGGGUGGCAUGGGUGGCUUUGUUAGUGAUGUAGCUAGCUCACUAUGUUAACCAUGUUCUUGCCACCUCAAUAAACAUUCUCCCCUUCGCUGGGCUUGAAAUCACUUAGGAGGUACAGCUCUGGGUGUGUUUGGGAGUUUUGAGAGAACCUGAAGUAAAAAGGAAGAGCCACCUGCAUGUGAUGGCUGAAACUGGAGGCCCAGCUUAGGCAGAAGCAAAAAGAAAAGCCACUGAUGCACCAUCUCCUUUUCUCUUACCAUGCCCUAUCCUGGAGAAAAUGAAGUCUUUUUACAUCUCUCCAAGAAACACAGCAACAAACACCCCACUCAUCACUUGCUGUAACCAUCCUUCUGGAACUUAAUUUCAAUCUUCUCAAGGACCUUAACACAUGCCCUGACACCCCAAGACUGCAGCUGAAGCAGCAAAGAAUCUGUGUCAAGUUAGAGGUAAAAGAGAGAAAUUUCCGAACAGAACCCUGGUUUUGCAGAAGAUGAGAGCAGUCACUGACAAAGAGGAUCCCUUGAAGCUAAAACUUCUGCACAGUGAACUGUCAGGACUGAACCGUGUAGGUUAAAUGGAGAUCUAUGCUUUGUGUUAAGAGCCUGGAUUCUGGGAACAUGGCAGAAUGGAUGUCCAUGCCUUUCAGGGUCUCCAGGCUACUUCCAGCCAGCGCUUCUACCAAAACCCAAGACCCCUUUCACGGCCCCACAAAAAUGGACUUUGGAGGAUGAAAAGAUAGCUCAAUAAUUGCUUCUGCAGAGGACCUGAAUUCACUUCUCAGUGCUCACACAGUGGCUCAUAACUGUCUGAAACCCGAGUUUCAAAGGAUCCAAUGUUCUCUACUGAACUAUGGGGGAACCAGGUGCUCAUGUGGUACAAAACACUCACACACAUAGAAUAAUAAAAAAAAAAAUUAAAUUAGAAAAAGAAAGGCUUAACCAGGGGCAGGCAGGAGAGAGUGGGGUAAGUCAAAGGGUGGGUAAAAGGGUUAAGCCAAAAAUGGCUGUGUAGAAAAUCCAGGCAAAAGCCUACUAUCUCAUAAUCCACUCUCAAAUGAGGGGCUAUUGGCAGCUCAGAAAUGGGAGUCUUUUUUUUGAGGAUGAGGUCACUGGGAGAUGUUCCAUUCUACAGUAAGUGGCCUUAAAUGAAGGUACAUGCAGAUGUAGACAUUGCUAAAUGUACCUAGAGAAGAAGAGAAGGAGGAGGAGAGGAUGUAGCUAGGAGAUCGCUGUGUAGGAAAGAUCUGGGGGUUGUAGUUGGAAAAAUAAGGUUGUAUAUAAUCACGUUACAUUGUAUGUACAUAUAGAAUUCUGAAAAAAAAUCUGGGUGCUGGAGAAAUGACUUAGCAGUUAACAGUACUGACUAAUCUUCCAGAAAUCCCAGGUUUGAAUUCCCAGCACUUACAUGCAGCUCACAACUGUCUGUAACUUCUG